GUCUGGUCCCAAGGUAGUGAGUUAUCUCAAUCGACUGUUCAGUCAGUUACAGAUCAAUCUCCUUGUUCUACUCUUUCCCUCCUUCCACUACUCCACUUGACUAGUCUAAA
Molecule: Y RNA, 110 nt
Filed under: Macaca mulatta (Rhesus monkey)
Lineage: Eukaryota; Metazoa; Chordata; Mammalia; Primates; Cercopithecidae
Description: Y RNA (ENSMMUG00000063762.1)
Rfam family: Y RNA
About the family: Y RNAs are components of the Ro ribonucleoprotein particle (Ro RNP), in association with Ro60 and La proteins. The Y RNAs and Ro60 and La proteins are well conserved, but the function of the Ro RNP is not known.
Source: Rfam by way of RNAcentral